Molecule: transfer RNA, 85 nt
Filed under: Felis catus (domestic cat)
Lineage: Eukaryota; Metazoa; Chordata; Mammalia; Carnivora; Felidae
Also listed under: 2 other names
Rfam family: tRNA
About the family: Transfer RNA (tRNA) molecules are approximately 80 nucleotides in length. Their secondary structure includes four short double-helical elements and three loops (D, anti-codon, and T loops). Further hydrogen bonds mediate the characteristic L-shaped molecular structure. tRNAs have two regions of fundamental functional importance: the anti-codon, which is responsible for specific mRNA codon recognition, and the 3' end, to which the tRNAs corresponding amino acid is attached (by aminoacyl-tRNA synthetases). tRNAs cope with the degeneracy of the genetic code in two manners: having more than one tRNA (with a specific anti-codon) for a particular amino acid; and 'wobble' base-pairing, i.e. permitting non-standard base-pairing at the 3rd anti-codon position.
Source: Rfam by way of RNAcentral
GCCUGGUUGGCUCAGUCGAUUAAGCAUCUGACUUUGAUUCAGGUCAUGAUCUCACAGUUCAUGGGUUCAAGCCCCGUGUCAGGCU